RNAcentral lists this long non-coding RNA (551 nucleotides) under Mytilus galloprovincialis (Mediterranean mussel). The record is from RNAcentral. Lineage: Eukaryota; Metazoa; Mollusca; Bivalvia; Mytilida; Mytilidae.
GUUGUAUAUACAUUUUUUUUCGUUCUUUUUUUUUUAAAAUAAGUUAACAUGGUUAAGCAGUUAUAGUUAUAUAGUUAAAAUUGUUUUCCAUUUUUCAUGUCGGCGUCUUUUAUUGUUAACUAUGCCAUAUAAACUUUGCUCAAUGUUAAAGGCCAUACGGUUAUCUAUAGAUGUGCCAGUUAGUAUGUAUGUACUGGAAAUUUUACUUAUUUGCAAUCAUACCACUUCUUUUUUUAUAAAUACCUUUCUGUUUAAAUUGUUCACAUAACAAUGCUAACAAUAUUGUGUCAAAAUCGUGUUUAUAUUUUAUAUUGAGUCUAUGGUACGUAUAUAAACGUUAAACUAACUGCAUUUGUUUGCACCUGUCCUUAGUCAGGAAUCUGUCGUUCAGUAGUUGUCGUUUGUUGAAUUGUUCAUACGUGUUUCUGGUUUCAUGUUUUUUUUACAUUAGACCUUUAUUUUUCCUGUUCAAAUAGUUUUACACUAGUGUUUUUUGUGCCUUUCAUAGCUUGCUACUCGAUAAAAACCAAAACUCCGUAUUAAUGACAAAC